RNAcentral lists this unclassified non-coding RNA (253 nucleotides) under uncultured Halomonadaceae bacterium. Its description in RNAcentral is "contains 16S-23S intergenic spacer region". It matches the Rfam family "Bacterial small subunit ribosomal RNA", at positions 524 to 776 of the family's 1533-position model. The record is from RNAcentral. Lineage: Bacteria; Pseudomonadati; Pseudomonadota; Gammaproteobacteria; Oceanospirillales; Halomonadaceae.
UACGGAGGGUGCGAGCGUUAAUCGGAAUUACUGGGCGUAAAGCACGCGUAGGCGGCUUGAUAAGCCGGUUGUGAAGGCCCCGGGCUCAACCUGGGAACGGCAUCCGGAACUGUCAGGCUAGAGGGCAGGAGGGGAAGGUAGAAUUCCCGGUGUAGCGGUGAAAUGCGUAGAGAUCGGGAGGAAUACCAGUGGCGAAGGCGGCCUUCUGGACUGACACUGACGCUGAGGUGCGAAAGCGUGGGUAGCAAAAAGG